RNAcentral lists this ribosomal RNA (387 nucleotides) under uncultured Bicosoecida. RNAcentral's name for it is "partial small subunit ribosomal RNA". It matches the Rfam family "Eukaryotic small subunit ribosomal RNA", at positions 30 to 427 of the family's 1831-position model. The record is from RNAcentral. Lineage: Eukaryota; Bigyra; Bicosoecida.
GCUUGUCUCAAAGAUUAAGCCAUGCAUGUUCAAGUAUAGCAAGUGUACAGUGAAACUGCGAAUGGCUCAUUAAAUCAGUUAUAAUUUAUUUGAUAGUGAAAUUGUACAUGGAUAACCGUGGCAAUUCUAGGGCUAAUACAUGCGACAACCCCCGACUGCUUGCAGGAGGGGCGUAUUUAUUAGAUACAACCAACCCUUCGGGUCCCUGGUGAAUCAUAAUAACUUAGCGAACCGCAUGCUUCGGCGGCGGUGGUUCAUUCAAGUUUCUGCCCUAUCAGCUUUCGAUGGUAGGGUAUUGGCCUACCAUGGCUUUGACGGGUAACGGAGGAUUAGGGUUCGAUUCCGGAGAGGGAGCCUGAGAGAUGGCUACCACAUCCAAGGAAGGCA